Molecule: ribosomal RNA, 485 nt
Filed under: Fusarium oxysporum
Lineage: Eukaryota; Fungi; Ascomycota; Sordariomycetes; Hypocreales; Nectriaceae
Description: eukaryotic LSU rRNA
Rfam family: 5.8S ribosomal RNA (bases 128-281)
Source: RNAcentral
UGUGCGCACUGCUCUCGCGAGCGAGUAGGCGGAUCAGCCCGCUCCCGGUAAAACGGGACGGCCCGCCAGAGGACCCCUAAACUCUGUUUCUAUAUGUAACUUCUGAGUAAAACCAUAAAUAAAUCAAAACUUUCAACAACGGAUCUCUUGGUUCUGGCAUCGAUGAAGAACGCAGCAAAAUGCGAUAAGUAAUGUGAAUUGCAGAAUUCAGUGAAUCAUCGAAUCUUUGAACGCACAUUGCGCCCGCCAGUAUUCUGGCGGGCAUGCCUGUUCGAGCGUCAUUUCAACCCUCAAGCACAGCUUGGUGUUGGGACUCGCGUUAAUUCGCGUUCCUCAAAUUGAUUGGCGGUCACGUCGAGCUUCCAUAGCGUAGUAGUAAAACCCUCGUUACUGGUAAUCGUCGCGGCCACGCCGUUAAACCCCAACUUCUGAAUGUUGAACGCGGAUGAGGUAGGAAUACCCGCUGAACUUAAGCAUAUCAAUAA